Long non-coding RNA from Nerophis ophidion (straightnose pipefish), 2675 nucleotides. RefSeq lists it as uncharacterized. Lineage: Eukaryota; Metazoa; Chordata; Actinopteri; Syngnathiformes; Syngnathidae. The record is from RefSeq and is a predicted model, not a curated record. The transcript is spliced from 9 exons.
UUACAGACAAUAGAUCAGAUCAUGGCCAGUACGACUACGGCAUCAGUGGGGGGUGCGGUGGAUGAACCAAUAGCAAUGGCACUAGAUUUGCCUGAUGUGGAGGCCGAUCAAGAUCAGGGAAAUACAAGAGAACAAGGAUGCCAGAUGGACUGGGUACCGAUUGGGACAGCACCAACGGCAAUGACUAGUAGCAAGAGCACCCAAACUGGGAAAAUACAUCAUAGAUCAAAGGACACCAGGUGACCCCAGAGAUCCUCGAGAGGGUUAGAGCUCGGCCGGUUAGUGAAGUCCCAUUGUCAAGUGCAGCAGCUCCAUCUGACAGCCCUGAGAUGCAGCCCAACAUAGCAUCUCCAGGUGCGUCUGGAAUGCAAGCCAAGUUAGGACCACCUCCUGCAUUGUUUGAUGAAGGACCAGCAUCAAGUCCCGCUGCGCCUUCUGUUAGUGGUUCUUCCGAUGUCAGCUAUGUGCCAAGUGGGUCAUCGACAUCAGAUCCGUGUCAAUCUGACAGGUCGCCAGAUCCCACACGUACUCCCAAGAUGCGGGAAGAGGGCUGCCACAAAGAACCGAAGUACAUUAUCUUUGAGUCGUGCCUCCAGAGUCUCGUCAAGUGGUGUCACUGUCCAGCCUGUGGCAGCCAGGACAUAAGCCCUUCUUGGGAUUCGAACAGUACACAGCUGAUCAUGACCAUACAAUGUGCAUCAUGUGACCAGAGAAGUAGGCGGAGCAGCCAGCCAAACAUUGGCCCUUAUGCCGCGGGCAACAUCCUGCUAUCUGCUUGCAUCCUCUUCGCUGGCGCAUCUUCUGGCAUGGUGUUGCAUCGGCGUGGUCACAUAUGUGAAGAGAACAUUUUUUAACCACCACGAGCUCAUCCUGCAGCCAGCCAUCAAAAAGGUGUGGGAGGAACAGCAACAGACGCACCUCACCAUGCUGCAGGUGGAAGGCCAACCCCUGGUCCUUGGUUGUGAUGGGCGAGCAGACAGUCCAAGACACAGUGCCAAGUUCGGUACCUACACCACAAUGGAGCUUGAGGCCAAUGUGGUUCUCGGCCCUCAGGUUGUACAGAGCAACUAAUGUCAUGGCAGCUACCAUAUGGAGAUGGAAGGACUGAAGAGGAUGGUGGAGCUGCUGAUCAGCAGGUACCUGAAUGUCGGGGUACUGGUGACAGACAGACACAGACAGAUCGCUAAAUGGAUUCGUGAAAACAUGCCCAAUACACGGCACUGCUAUGACUUCUGGCAUGUUGGAAAAUCCAUCGGGAAGAAACUUAAGCUCAAGGACUGUGAAGACAUGAAGCCCUGGGUGCUAAGUAUAAUUAACCACCUCUACUGGGCAGCAGCGUCUACACCGCCUGGAGAGGAGGAACUUCUGGUUGCCAAGUGGAAGUCUGUGGAGCGACACAUUUAGAACAUCCACAAGGACUAUGGCCACCUCUUCCCAAUUUGUGCUUAUGGACAACUGCACGGUAGAAGUAUGCAAAAGAAAUGGCUCAAACCAAGUUCACGCUCAGCAGUGAAACUGGAGGAGGUUGUCAACAACAAGUCCCUGCUGAACGAUAUCGCCAUACUGUCGGGUGAACACCAGACUUCCAAGGUGGAGGGGUUCCAUAGCCUUAUCAUACAGUUCGCACUGAAAACGUAUGUCUUUUCAUACAUCGGAAUGCUGUGCAGGAACUUGCUUGCUGGGCUGCACUGGAAUGAAAACUCGAGCUGCCCUAUAGCCACUACACAAGCGGGUGCUGAGCGCUAUGCAGUACGCUACCCGAAGUAUUAAGCACGGGCCAUGUGGUCAAGAAAAUCGCAACAGAGCCAACAUCCUGACGCCAGAGGCAGUGGACAGGGGGAUGGAAAAGUCUGAGCUUCCCUGCUUAAUCUGCUGCCCCAGUGACCAGACCUCGGAUAAGCGGAAGAAGAUGGAUGGAUGGAUGGAUGGUUUCACUCUCCAUGAGUUUAUUAUGUUGUGAGCAAUAAAAUGUACAAUUGUAUUUUGCAGGCCACGUAAAUGACUUGAUCAGGGAGGUUGUUGCUGGCUGCAGACAGAACCCUGACGAGAGAACACCAGUCAGCGUCAUCGUGGAUGUGACUCCCUUUCUCUGCAAUGAACUGGAGAAGCCAGACAAGGAGGAAGCCAUCGCCAAGCACAGUAGUCGCUUCGCUAAUCGUUAAGUACAGUGGCCAUGUGGAUUCUGUUACAGUCACUGCACUUCUUGGAACCCCGUGUAGUCCAUUGAUGGAAAUGUUCUAAUCUUAUGUACUACGUAAGCUGGUAGUGCCACCCUUAUCUCCUUUCCCAGAUAUCCCCAGCAGAAGCGGACAAACUCUCGAUAUGCUGUGUCAUCGCCUCCAAGUACAAAAUAGUUGAUAGCAUAUUAUGGCACCUGUUAUUAUCCAGACUUAGAUACACAGUGACUCACUGUUCUCUGAGAUGCAAAAGACAUUGUCAUGCAUUCUAUUCAUUUGUCAUUUAUUGUUGCAGUAAAUAGAAAAUAUUUUUGACAUCUACGGUCCAUGUAUGUAAUACUUCUAUGAUAUAUAAUGUCAUGUACAUUGUAGCAAAGUACAUUUCACAGAAUAAGAAUAAGAUAAGAAAGUGCUCAUUUUGACUUAUCUUCCAAAGGUUGAUAGAAUAAAGAAUUAUUUAAACUUAUUAGUGCCUCACUCAUUUUGUUGUUGCUGCAU